UUGUAGGGACUCCGGUCCCCUCAAGAUGCAACCCGUGCCUUUUUUGUAGCCCGUAACGUUUCCUCGGCAGCCCCGCUGCCAGCGAGGACCCCUCCCAAACCUGCAAUCUCAGUAAAAAAUUCAGAAACCCCCCAAAAUUUA
Molecule: unclassified non-coding RNA, 141 nt
Filed under: uncultured Lophiostoma
Lineage: Eukaryota; Fungi; Ascomycota; Dothideomycetes; Pleosporales; Lophiostomataceae
Description: sequence contains ITS1
Source: RNAcentral